UACGUAGGGUGCUAGCGUUGUCCGGAUUUAUUGGGCGUAAAGAGCGUGUAGGCGGCCAAACAGGUCAGCUGUGAAAACUCGAGGCUCAACCUCGAGACGUCGGUUGAAACCGUUUGGCUAGAGUCCGGAAGAGGAGAGUGGAAUUCCCGGUGUAGCGGUGAAAUGCGCAGAUAUCGGGAAGAACACCCGUGGCGAAGGCGGCUCUCUGGGACGGUACUGACGCUGAGACGCGAAAGCGUGGGGAGCGAACAGG
RNAcentral lists this ribosomal RNA (253 nucleotides) under uncultured bacterium. Its description in RNAcentral is "partial 16S ribosomal RNA". It matches the Rfam family "Bacterial small subunit ribosomal RNA", at positions 524 to 776 of the family's 1533-position model. The record is from RNAcentral.